GGUGUUGUAGCUCAGUGGUAGAGUGCUUGCCUAGCAUGUGUGAGGCAUGGGUUCAAUCCUUAGCACCA
This 68-nucleotide transfer RNA is filed under the name Ictidomys tridecemlineatus (thirteen-lined ground squirrel). RNAcentral's name for it is "Spermophilus tridecemlineatus (thirteen-lined ground squirrel) tRNA". It matches the Rfam family "tRNA". From Rfam's summary of the family: Transfer RNA (tRNA) molecules are approximately 80 nucleotides in length. Their secondary structure includes four short double-helical elements and three loops (D, anti-codon, and T loops). Lineage: Eukaryota; Metazoa; Chordata; Mammalia; Rodentia; Sciuridae. The record is from Rfam by way of RNAcentral.